GAUCCUCCUAAUGUGUUGCCUCAUUUGUUUUAUGCAUGUGUGAAACACACAAAAAGUAAGGUUUGUUGUAGCAUGUUUCUGUGCUAACCUUGUGUGUAUGUGUGUCAUUCAUUCUUCAAAUAAAAUAAAUUAAAUGUUUGAAUGACAUGAGGGUGAGCAAAUUAUGACAUAAUUUCAUUUCAUUUCAUUUGUUGGGAGAACUAUCCUAAAAGUUUGUCUUUGGUGAUAAAAUAUCUCUUCUUGUCUAUAAUCACAGAUGUGACCGCCAUCAUCUUUGUGGCAGCCAGUAGCAGUUAUAACAUGGUCAUAAGGGAGGACAACAGCACUAACCGGCUGCGCGAGUCUCUUGAUCUGUUCCGCAGCAUCUGGACUAACAGGUUUUUAAGGACCAUCUCAGUGAUCUUAUUCCUGAACAAACAAGACAUGCUGGCAGAAAAAAUUCUGGCAGGAAAAUCCAAACUCGAAGAUUAUUUUCCAGAGUAUGCUCGAUACACUCUUCCUCCUGAAG
Long non-coding RNA from Puntigrus tetrazona (Sumatra barb), 508 nucleotides. RefSeq lists it as uncharacterized. The transcript has 2 exons. NCBI's taxonomy places the organism in Eukaryota, Metazoa, Chordata, Actinopteri, Cypriniformes, Cyprinidae. The record is from RefSeq and is a predicted model, not a curated record.